AUUGAACGCUGGCGGCAUGCCUUACACAUGCAAGUCGAACGGCAGCACGGGAGCAAUCCUGGUGGCGAGUGGCGAACGGGUGAGUAAUAUAUCGGAACGUGCCCAGUCGUGGGGGAUAACGCAGCGAAAGCUGUGCUAAUACCGCAUACGAUCUCUGGAUGAAAGCGGGGGACUCGCAAGGGCCUCGCGCGAUUGGAGCGGCCGAUAUCAGAUUAGCUAGUUGGCGGGGUAAAGGCCCACCAAGGCGACGAUCUGUAGCUGGUCUGAGAGGACGACCAGCCACACUGGAACUGAGACACGGUCCAGACUCCU
RNAcentral lists this ribosomal RNA (312 nucleotides) under uncultured bacterium. RNAcentral describes it as "bacterial SSU rRNA". It matches the Rfam family "Bacterial small subunit ribosomal RNA", at positions 30 to 340 of the family's 1533-position model. The record is from RNAcentral.